GAGAGUGCACCCGAAGUACUCCAGCUAUGGAGGAAAGUAUUUCCAACAAGAAGUACGACGUCAAAAGAGACAACGCAGCUGUUGGAAGAGACAAACGCCUCUACCACCCACAAAAACCACGACAGUUAUUCCUCGGGACCGCCAGACAGUCAUAUCCUAAUUCCUGAUGGCCGGAGAAUCAUCACUAAUAGAAUCACCUCUUCCCAAGGACAUGCUGCUCUGAGGUCAAAAGAAAAUACUUCCAUAAAUAUAUUCUGGCCUCCCGAAAAUGGUUCAUCCGGGGAGGGCCAACCUCAGCAUAUCUUCGUUGACAACAUUGUGUUGUCGACUAUACCUGAAAUUCCCGAUCGAAGGGAGGAGCAUGUUCCGCUACGAGGCGGAAACACCAGCGCAUCAUUUUCGGCUGAACUGCGAAGCGAUAAGGAGGGAAGUGGAGUGCUUGAAGCAAACGGAAGCGAAGGCGGUGUAGCGACGAUUCCUGAAACGCCUUCAGCAGAGAGCGGCACGGAUACUUCACUUGAUUCUACGGCACGCGUUGAUGGUAACGGCACGGGGUCCUCUUCGACGAACGUUUUAUUACCGUUGGACGAAAACUAUGACAACAAUGACGACUACGAGGCUUCGGGUAAUUUUUCGGCGGAACAAACGAAUAGUGAAAGCGUGGGGAAUUUGUCGCGCAUAGACCUAUUGGUGGCAUCAUCUUUACUGCGAGAUACUACGAUUAGUUUGCCGCCAAUUACUCAUGACCAAAAUGCCACCUCAUUACUUCGGAACGACGGAAAUAAGUGAUGAUGUUCAGAUACACCAUUUAACCGGGGCAAUAAAUAACGCAGUGAACAGCGGAGUGAACCUGGCAGAGACUGAUUUUCUUCAACUCGUAAAGAAUAAAUCGAUACGUGCCUGUA
Molecule: long non-coding RNA, 905 nt
Filed under: Dermacentor andersoni
Lineage: Eukaryota; Metazoa; Arthropoda; Arachnida; Ixodida; Ixodidae
Description: uncharacterized LOC126529999
Source: RNAcentral